CCUACGGGAGGCAGCAGUGAGGAAUAUUGGUCAAUGGGCGCGAGCCUGAACCAGCCAAGUAGCGUGAAGGAUGACUGCCCUACGGGUUGUAAACUUCUUUUAUAAAGGAAUAAAGUGAGGCACGUGUGCCUUUUUGUAUGUACUUUAUGAAUAAGGAUCGGCUAAGUCCGUGCCAGCAGCCGCGGUAAUACGGGGGAUCCGAGCGUUAUCCGGAUUUAUUGGGGUUAAAGGGAGCGUAGAUGGGUUGUUAAGUUAGUUGUGAAAGAUUGCGGCUCAACCGUAAAAUUGCAAUUGAUACUGGCAGCCUUGAGUACAGUUGAGGUAGGCGGAAUGCGUGGUGUAGCGGUGAAAUGCUUAGAUAUCACGAAGAACUCCGAUUGCGAAGGCAGCUUACUAAACUGCCACUGACAUUGAUGCUCGAAAGUGUGGGUAUCAAACAGGAUUAGAUACCCGAGUAGUC
RNAcentral lists this ribosomal RNA (460 nucleotides) under uncultured bacterium. RNAcentral's name for it is "partial 16S ribosomal RNA". It matches the Rfam family "Bacterial small subunit ribosomal RNA", at positions 338 to 795 of the family's 1533-position model. The record is from RNAcentral.